UAUUUUCACUUUAGCUUAGUGCACUAUUAUUAUUCUUCUCGCGCAAGAGCGUCUUUAUCUCCCAUCUCUUAUGUGCCUUCUUCUCGCGCCGUUUGCUCUGAGUGCAGCCCCGUCCCUGGCCACUCCACCGGCGACAUCGUCUACUCCGAGUGCGACCUCGUCCUCGAGUUCCACUCCAUUGACGAGACCUCCGAGGGGCAUAGCUUCGCCAACGAGUCGAGAGACAACGACCCCAACUGUGUCGGCGGUCCCUUUAACUCUCUUCUCACGGAUGACGGCCUGUCUACUGUCAUCGCCAAGCCCAACGGCUACGGCGGCGUGUUCUUCUCCUCCUCCCUCGAUUGCAGGCAAAAUUGCGGUUCCAACCCCCAACCGCGCCCUCAUCCAUGCUUUCAAGACCUUCUGAAUUGAUUUUUGGGGUUGUUUAUUUGUCGGUUUGUUUUGUUCUUGUGGCUAUACCCUUCAAAAUCGCUCCUUUAACAAAGUUUGAGCAAUGGAUUGUUGGGAUUGGAUUCCUGUUGGGAUUGGGUUCCUGUGGGUUUACCCUUCAAGAUUAUUCCUUUAACAAAGCUGGUCGCUCGUUUCUUGGUGGCUUCUGACAAGGUUUGCGCUUUGGGGUUGUACAUAUUGGUAUUGGAAUUUGAAGUGGUGAGUGGUGAAGAUGGAUUCAGAAAGCGAGGCUGUAAAGAUACCAAAGAAGGAAUUGGAAGCAGUAGGGGCUCUGAAUUCAAAGAUGAAGGGUUCUGAAAACAUAAGCAGUAAGGAUAUGAUAUUUAGAGCUGAUAAGAUUGAUCUCAAGAGUUUGGAUGCCUAGCUGGAAAAGCACUUGAGCAAGGUUUGGUCAAGGAGUACCAUUGAGGCAAAACAGGCCAAAGAAGACGUUGCUGGUAUUUCCACUUCUUUUAUUUACUUUAUACGUUAUUUUGGAUGAUUUUUGAUGGCAAAACUAUGCACUCUAUGGACUACUCCAAUCUGGACAACGACACUACUGCUAAAUUGAUCAAAGGAAAAAGAGUCACAGUAAUAAGCUCACAUAAAUCUGCUCUUGAUCUUGCAGCUGAAUGUGCAAAUGCAAAUGGUAAGAAACUGUUUUGGUUGCAAAAUAUUCUACUCAACCUGCAGAAGAACUGAUUUUAGUUUUGUCCUACAUCACUGGCUAGUUUAGUACUUUUCAAUUUUUCCCUUGCAAUGGUUUACUCCACAAAUCACUUUUGCAAGAGUCAUGCAUCCUUGCACAAUUCAUGCAAAGGACUGAAUACUGGUUAUUUCCAAAUUUCAACAGUUGGGGAGUUAUCUGCAAAAA
Molecule: long non-coding RNA, 1303 nt
Organism: Vigna angularis (adzuki bean)
Lineage: Eukaryota; Viridiplantae; Streptophyta; Magnoliopsida; Fabales; Fabaceae
Exons: 3
Source: RefSeq, a predicted model, not a curated record